Molecule: ribosomal RNA, 444 nt
Filed under: uncultured bacterium
Lineage: Bacteria
Description: SSU rRNA
Rfam family: Bacterial small subunit ribosomal RNA
Source: RNAcentral
AGAACGAACGCUGGCGGCAGGCUUAACACAUGCAAGUCGAACGCCCCGCAAGGGGAGUGGCAGACGGGUGAGUAACGCGUGGGAAUCUACCCAGUUCUACGGAAUAACACAGGGAAACUUGUGCUAAUACCGUAUACGCCCUACGGGGGAAAGAUUUAUCGGGAUUGGAUGAGCCCGCGUUGGAUUAGCUAGUUGGUGGGGUAAUGGCCUACCAAGGCGACGAUCCAUAGCUGGUCUGAGAGGAUGAUCAGCCACACUGGGACUGAGACACUGCCCAGACUCCUACGGGGGGCUGCAGUAACGAAUCUUCCGCAAUGCACGCAAGUGUGACGGAGCGACGCCGCGUGUGGGACGAAGCCCUUCGGGGUGUAAACCACUGUCAGGGGCAGGCCAAGAACUGAGGCGCCCAGAGGAAGGCACGGCUAACUCUGUGCCAGCAGCCGC